This 1254-nucleotide long non-coding RNA is filed under the name Suricata suricatta (meerkat). Its description in RNAcentral is "lncRNA (ENSSSUG00005001673.1)". Lineage: Eukaryota; Metazoa; Chordata; Mammalia; Carnivora; Herpestidae. The record is from RNAcentral.
CCUCGGCAGGCUGACAGCCACCUGCACAGGGAAGCGAAGCAGGGAGAGGACUUUUCUUACUGCUCAGGACCCUGGGUCUCCCUUUCUCAAUCCUUCCGAUGAAGGAAGUGGUAACUGAGGUGAUUAUGACGGAAACAGCGGUCAGUCCACGCUUCCUCCGUGCGGCUGUUGGUGCCUUACAGACACCGGAGCCUCUGGGCGACCCUCUGCCUUGUGCACCCCUUAUAAUUACCAUCCCUGCUUACAGAUGAGCAAACCGGUUCUCGGAGAAGUCGAGUGACGCUCUCCAAAUCACACAGCAGACAUAAGGCAUCAGGGAAACUCAAAGGGCACACCGAACAGCGUUGUCCCUGGCCAGAUGGUGGGCAUCCGCACCCGGGAUCAACACACCCCUGGCCGCCCCCAAUCCCGACUGUCAAGAGACCAGAGUCCAGAGCAGAUCGGCACAGGUGCAAGCAAAACUGGGUGGAAAACAAGAGAAACAGAAGGAAAUGAAUCUCGGGAGGUGAAACUGGACUAUGGGUGUGCGCUGGCAAGUUGGGGCAGAAGAGGCUGUGUGCGAGCCAGGGGUGUGUGCAGGCAGGGAGGUGACAAGAGGCAGCGGGCGUGACCUCAUAGGAACUGUGUAUCCAUUAGAGGUGCUUGUCGCCAUGGAGACCAGACACAUGGGCGAGCCGGCCCAGGGAGGCAGAAAUAAAGGAGCUGUAAGGGACGGAUGUUCAAGGAGAGACAGAGUUACACGUUAACGUUGCCGAAGCCUUGGGGUGCAGGCAACUGCCAGGGUGUCCGCGGGAGAGGUGCCGCCGGGCAAGGACAGGAGCUGCAUGCCAGGGGGCUUCUGAGCUGGAUCGUCAGGAGGCAGUUCACAUCCGCUGUUCUGGGGCCUCAGACACUGACAGCGCGACAGGAGCCGUCCAGCUUGGCUCUGGCUACAGACGCGGUGGCCGCAGCCGGGCCUCACCUGCCGCAGCAAAACAGCUGUUCUCGCGGCCUGGGAAAACACCAGCCUGGAGGAGCCAGCGAGAGUUCCCCAGGCCUGAGAUCGGUGGCCUUAAUCUUCGAGAAGUGUACACAUGCACGCACACGUGCACGGGGUUGUGUGUGUGCUGGCGAGUGUGUUACGGCAGGUUAAGUGUUCAAUUCCCAUUUUUUAAAUUUAAUUGUUUUUCAGAGAGAGAGAGAGUGUGAGCGUGGGGAAGGGACAGGGAGAGAGGGAGACAUAGGAUCUGAAGCAGGCUCUGGGCUCUGAGCUGU